RNAcentral lists this ribosomal RNA (254 nucleotides) under uncultured bacterium. RNAcentral's name for it is "partial 16S ribosomal RNA". It matches the Rfam family "Bacterial small subunit ribosomal RNA", at positions 524 to 776 of the family's 1533-position model. The record is from RNAcentral.
UACGUAGGGACCAAGCGUUGUUCGGAUUUACUGGGCGUAAAGGGCGCGUAGGCGGCGCUGUAAGUCACUUGUGAAAUCUCUGAGCUUAACUCAGAACGGCCAAGUGAUACUGCAGUGCUAGAGUGCGGAAGGGGCAAUCGGAAUUCUUGGUGUAGCGGUGAAAUGCGUAGAUAUCAAGAGGAACACCUGAGGUGAAGACGGGUUGCUGGGCCGACACUGACGCUGACAGCGCGAAAGCCAGGGGAGCAAACGGG